GACACAUUGGUUUUCGCACUCUAACUUUAGUUUAAGUGAAUGGAUCUCUAUGAAAUUUUACCAUAAGGAUUGAUUUUGGGGGUUAUGGUACCAACAGUUAAGGAAUUAGGGGCCAAAAAGGGGCAAAAAAUAAGCAUUUUUGUAACUUCCAGACAUAACUUGUGUGUUAGUGUAUGGAUCUCUCUGACAUUGUACCACAAGGUUCCAUAUCACACAGGGAAUGCUGGGAUUGAUUUUGGGGGUAAUUGCCUCAAAAUAUUAGGAAUUAGGGGCCAAAAAAGGGGCAAAAAACAAGCAUUUUUUUAGUUUCAUGACAAUAACUUGUGUGUAAGUGUAUGGAUCUUUCUGAAAUUGUACUACAAGGUUCCAUAUCAUAAAGGGAAAGCUGGAAUUGAGUUUGGGGGUAAUUGCCCAAAACGUUUAGGAAUUUGGGGCCAAAAAGGGGUCAAAAAUAAGCAUUUUUCUAGUUUCCAGACAAUAACUUGUGUUCAAGUGUAAGGAUCUCUCUGAAAUUGUACUGCAAGGUACCAUACCACAAAGGGAAGGCUGGGAUUGAUUUUGGGGGUAAUUGCCUCAAAAUUUUAGGAAUAAGGCGCCAAAAAGGGGCAAAAAACAAGCAUUUUCUAAUUUCAAGACAAUAACUUGUGUGUAAGUGUAUGGAUCUUUAUGAAAUUGUACUACAAGGUUCUAUAUCACAAAGGGCAAGCUGGGUUUGAGUUUGGGGGUAAUUGCCCUAAACGUUUAGGAAUUUGGGGCCAAAAAGGGGCCAAAAAAACAAGCAUUUUUCUAGUUUCCAGACAAUAACUUGUGCAUAAGUGUAUGGAUCUCUCUGAAAUUGUACUGCAAGGUACCAUACCACAAAGGGAAGGCUGGGAUUGAGUUUGGGGUGAUGAAUCAUAAGGGGGUUCAAAAAAUUGGGGGGGGAUUUUUUUUUCCCUUUUUUUCCUUUUUUUUUCUUUAAAAUUUUCCAUUUUAAAUUGGUUAUUUCUGAUUAAUAUAUAAGCAAAUAAUAAUGAUAUGGUUUGAAUAGGUAAAUUAAAAUUUUUUAAGUUCUUAGACCACAUUCAUUCUGUGUCAGAAACCUAUGCUGUGUCAAAUAUUUAAUCACAAUCCAAAUUCAGUGCUGUAUCAAGCUUGAAUGUUGUGUCCAUACUUGCCCCAACUGUUCAGGGUUCGACCUCUGUGGUCGUUUCAAGCUGUGCCCAGCGGAGCAUUUUAUUCAUUUUAUCAGAUAUUAUAAGCAUAUGUCUACUUGUUGGUGUAUGGAAUGACUACAAGGUGUCAUAUAAAAAUAAGAAGAUGUCUGUUUGCCAAGUUUAAUAUUACUGUGACCUCAUUUUCAUAGAAUAUUGAUAAUAUCAAGCAAAAAUGAUGAGCAAGACAAGAUACAAAUGAUCCAAAAUUGUCAGUUGCCUACUCAUUAUGUAAUAGUAGUUAUUGUCAUUAAAUGAUAAUGUUUACCCUUUUAUGUGUAGGGCAAGAACAUUAAAGAUAAAGGGAAACUAUAAACAAAAGAAAUUAUCAACAAAAAUAGAUUUACAGACGUCAACAAAGCCUAAAUGGUCAGACAUCUUGGUUUUCAUGAUCAUCAUUCAACAGGUCAAUACUGAACAGCAAACUUAAAGUUGAUAUUUUUCUACAUAGUGUGACUUUUUUAUUAAUUUGAAAUGGAAUGUGUUUUUUUCCUACAUAAGAAAGAGGAAAUUUCAACAUAAUUACUAUAAACAAAAAGGAGUCAUAUCAUCAUGAUCUUAGAUGCUCAAGAACUUAAUCAUGUAAAUGCAACAACGUAAUUAUCAAUUGAAAGAAGGGAGGAAUGAAAAAAUAUAUUAGUAUUUUGUUGUCCAAAUGAACUUGCUUUGUCCACUCAUUUAAAUCGCUCCAUCCAAUAAAGAUGUACGGAGGAAGAUUUUUGAAGAACAGAUUGCAUAAAUGUUUUGUCUUAGAAUUGUAGGAAUAUUCUAGUGGAUGAAAUAAUUUAUUUACUUGACUCUUAUAUAGUGGACUGAAUAAUUGUUCAUAGCAAGCUGAAACAAGAAAACUAAAACUUAACAGGAAAAGUGUUUAUUUUAUAAAUUUACAAAUAUAAAUGUAAUAUUAUGAACACCACAAAGGAAUAAGAUUCAAAUCAUUUGCAUAUUCAUGUAUUGCAAUGGAACUAUAACAAAGAAAACUUUACCUCAUGAAAAGAGUAAACUAUUAACUGUGCUUUGUCAAUUUAUUCAGUCAGAAUAUGAAAUAUUUUUAUCAGUUCUAUUUUUCAUAAUAAAACAAAGAAGACAAAGAUUUCAAAUCAAUAUUUUUUUCUUUUAUUAAGACGUCAUCAUUUUAUUUCAGUUAAAGGAUUUUAUUUUUUGACUUUAAAUAUUAUUAUAUUUCCAAAAUAAUAAUAAUCUUUAUUGUCAUAUAAACAAAUUAAAAACAUGUUUGUGACAAAAUGAAAAAAACCAAAAUACACUCAUAUAUAUAUUAUAAACUUUUUACUACCAAACAGAAUUCAUUGUAACAUACACAUUACUGUAUAUUUAUAAUUUGAAUUCCAUAGGAUUUUAUUUUGUCCCAUGGGAUAUUAAAAAUCCCAUGGGAUAAUUAUAGUCCCAUGGGAU
Molecule: long non-coding RNA, 2606 nt
Organism: Mytilus californianus (California mussel)
Lineage: Eukaryota; Metazoa; Mollusca; Bivalvia; Mytilida; Mytilidae
Exons: 3
Source: RefSeq, a predicted model, not a curated record